UAGCCUUUUGAUAUAACGUUUCAAUUUCAAGAACUCUGUGCAUCUGCUGCUGCCUGCAGACAUUUUUUUAAAUCUCCAAGCCCAAAAAACACAACCUUUUAAAGGGACUCUGAACUCUUCCUCCCUAUCAUUUUGUGAACAUCAAAUACUCCACCCAACUUUCCAACAAAGAGGCACUAGAUUCUUCUAAAUACACAGCAGUAGGUUCACAGACCAUUUAAUGCACAUUUCAUCUUUUUUAAUUCUGGCACCACAAGCAAGACAGGUUUUAUAGCCAAUGCCUAGUUGCCUUUGGGCAGGUGACAAUGAGCCACUUUCAUAAACCACUGCAGUCCCUUAGAAAGUGGUGCUUUACUCCUAUUAGAUAGGGAGUUCCCAGAUUUUGAUCUAGUUGUGAUGAAGGGUCAGUGGUAUGUUUCUACGUCAUGGAAGGGAAAUUGACAGUACUGGUAAUUUCAUGUGUCUCCUGUCCUUGUCUAUGUGGUAGCAGUCACUGCAUUGCAAGAAGCUGCUGUGCGUUGUGUAGAUGCUGGUGAGAGGAGCAACUGUUUAAGAUUGUUGAGAGGGUUCUUGUCAAUGAUGAUAGCUUAAUGUCAUCAAAGUUGCCAUCAUACUUUGAACUUUUUUAUUCAUUCAUGGGAUGUGGGCAUCCCUGGAUCGGGUAGCAUUUAUAACCUGUCCCUAAUUGAGGGCCGUUAACAGUCAGCAUAUUAUGCAUCUGCAGUCACACGUAGGUCAGACUGGGUAAGGAAUGCUUAUUUCCUUCCCUAAAGCUGGUGAAUUAGGUUAGGGCUUGGAAUUUGACACGUGUCCCUAGAUCAUUGCCUGGUGUUCUUGGUCACUAGGUCUAGUCACGUCCCUAUGCCUCCCUUAAAUUGUUGUUGCAGCAGCGUUCAUCCAUUACACCCCUCACUUGUGCCUUGUUUAAAAAAAAAUCUUUUGACAAGUCCGGAGGUGAGUCAUUUGCUGUAGAAUAUACAAUCUCUGACCUGCUGUUGUGACAGUAUUUAUAUGUCUAAUUUAGUUAAGUUUCUGGCCAGUGGUAAUCCUCCAGGUUACUGUUGGUGAGGGAUUUGAUUAUGUCAGUGCUAUGGAUGUCACAGGAAGGUGGGAAUUUGACACUCUUGUUGGAAUGGACAUUGUUUGGCAGUGAUGAGCUUGUCAUUAUCAUGGUUGAAUGUUGUGUGGAUCUUUCUUAAUAUUGCAUAAAUUGUUUCAUAUCGGAGGAGUUCUGAGUGAAGAUGAAUACUGCAUAACCAUGACCAAACAGUCCUACUUUAGAUAGAGGGAAGUUGCAAUGGAGUAGAUUAAAUCAUAUCUUGAUGUAUUUUUGGAAAAGGGAAUUGGUAUUGAUAGGUCAAUAAUUUGUUUUCUCCAGGCAUUUGAAUUGUAUGUUACCUUUCCAACUCGAGAGGAGCUGGUCUUUAACCCUGACUAUAAGUGGAAGACACUGAGCUUUGACUGUUGUCUUUGACAAGUUAUUGUUGUGCAACCCAAAAAUAAACUUUGGAGAAUGUUUUUGGUAGUCUUGCUGGUGUGUUUUACAUUGUCCAAUGCUGAUUUUACUGUAUUCAUAAUUUUAUCAGCUUGUCUUUUUGAUACUACAAUGUUUUUGUGAUUCACUACAGUUCUAUUUCUGCUUGAGUUUUUCAUAAAAGUGUAGAUAAUUACAGUGCAGAAGGAGACCAUUUGCUCAUCUUAUCUGAGGCAAACUUUUCUAAGAACUGAUUCCAUUCUCCUGCUCUUUUACCAUUGUUGUACAAUCUCUUUGUUUUUGGCUAUCUAUACAGUUCUCUUUGGACCCACAAUUGAAUUUGCCUCAACACAUUCUCAGGGUUAGUCAACAGAGUAAAACAAAUCGUAUGAUAGCAGAUAAUCUUGCCAUUUGUUUUUGGCCUACCUUCCUGAGACCAGAUGGCCUUACCAAUGCUGCAGUGAAUCAGUCUGCAAUUGAGACGUUUAUUCAGCAGUAUCAGUUCCUCUUUUACGACGGAGAAAUUGUAGAAACAGCCACUGCUCCUGAGGAACCUUGCACAGGUCAGUUGGUAGAACCAUUGUUACCAUUACCAUCGUUGCCACCACCUCCAGCAUCUCAACAGUUCCAAACACAGAUCCAGACAGAUCAACUUGAUAUCAUAUGAGCAAAAUAGCAAGACACGUCGUUAUAAACUGGGUAUCUGACAGUCCAGUUGCUAAAGUUUGGAAGACCUAAAGCUGUUACUCAUUUGCAAACUGUAGUAGCAACAUUGCUUUAAGAUCAAUCUAGCAUUCCUUUCUUCACUUACCAAAGGAGACAGUUGUAAGUGUAGAUAUUAAUGGAAUUUCUAAAAUGAUUGUGUAUAAAACAAACUGGCUGCAAUAAAUACAUUCCACUUGCUGCAUGAAAGAAAAGCAUCCUUGACAGUUUCUGUGGAUUUUUUUUUGUGGUUGUUUUCUUCACAAACCUUUUGACAGUUGUGAAUAACAGAGUAUGUAUACACUAAAUUGUACAAAAUGAAGUCAAAUAUAUUUCUCAGCCAACAAUAUAAUAUAAAAAUAUUCCAACUGGAUUUGACCUUUUAUUUGUGCUGUUUGGGGAGUCAUUGUGUUUGUGUCCUUACAUAUUUGUGUGGGUGGGUAGAUGGAAAUGCUGUCAUUAGCAGCCUCCCAACAUUUGCACUGCUUCUGAAAAUGUAGUUUUAAGAAAAAAUGCUAGGUGUACUGUAAAAGACUUGAUGUCUACUGCACCUUCUGUUUACUGGUAAUAGAACUGUGGUGAUUCUUUUUGUUAUCAGAAGAAUCACUUAUUUUAAUGACCAACAGCACAAUAAGGAUCAGUUCAAGAGAGAAAACUGAGCUUAAAAAUUACCAUCAUUUUAUCCUAUAUGUCUUAUUGCAUUUGUUUCGUUUAAAGGAUAAAAUGUAGACUUUUAUAGUAUCCUUAAUUGUUGGAAAAUAAUGCAUGUGUUAAAUUCAUGGUUGGUCUUGUACCUUCUCCUAAUGCAUUUUUAGAAAUAAUUUUCCUCUUUGGAAUGAAAGGGGAAAAUAUUGGGUGUAUAGAAAAGUCAUUUUUCAUAUGAGAUUGUAAAUCUUUCCAUAAUCCUUCAAUUAUAUGGCUUUCACAUGUUGUGUUUGCAAUAAAGAAUGGUGUAUUAAAUAGCUACAAGUACUGCUUGUUUCUGUUAACUCAUUUUAAUGUGACCCUUACAAGUAACCUGUUAUGACUUAAAUAUUGCUAACAUAGCAAUAAAUAUUUUGGGUAUUGGGAAUUACACACAGUUCAUGUAUAAUUUUGUAAAGCUUGUAUUCCUGUUACUUCCUGUGGUAUUUUGUACUAAAAUUUAUUUAGAAUAUUAUUUUAGCUUACAUUGUUCAAAUUACAUGUAUGUAACAACUUGUUUUAAAAAAUACACUUUUCUCAAAUCGGUACCCAUUUUGCUGUAAAAUGAUUCUGCUUUAAGUAGAAGAUUUGUUAAUUUGAAUAAGUGCUGUACGUUUUCCUGAAAGUUAAUGUAAAAUAAAUUGGUGAGCUGGAUGGAAUGUAAUCAGUAUUUGGUGGGGAAACUGGCUGUGUGAAUAGCAUCGAUUCUACUCUAGUUCUGAAACAGUCAAUUAAUGUUUGCAACUAUUUGCAGAUAUUAUCAGAACAUUAUUCUUUUCAGAGAAUUGUUAAUCAUUUGAAACAUUCUGCUGCUAGUAUAUGUUUUGUGUAGGUUUGGGUGCUAGUUAACUAUGAAAACAACUCAAUUUGCUCAGUGUUGUUAUUCACCUCAGUGGAACUGACAUGAAACUCUUAAGAUUUUGACAUCAGUUACAAUGUAUUAUAGUAAAUAAAUCAUUUGAGAAGCAAAUCUUAAGAGUUUGUACUCCACUUUCCUUAAUAAAAUCCUUUUUCUAUGAA
Long non-coding RNA from Rhincodon typus (whale shark), 3880 nucleotides. RefSeq lists it as uncharacterized. The record is from RefSeq and is a predicted model, not a curated record. Lineage: Eukaryota; Metazoa; Chordata; Chondrichthyes; Orectolobiformes; Rhincodontidae. The transcript is spliced from 2 exons.